This is a long non-coding RNA of Physcomitrium patens, 1739 nucleotides long. RefSeq lists it as uncharacterized. NCBI's taxonomy places the organism in Eukaryota, Viridiplantae, Streptophyta, Bryopsida, Funariales, Funariaceae. The record is from RefSeq and is a predicted model, not a curated record.
UUUGCCAGAGUUCAUUGGUACCUGCUUCGCGGAGUUUGUUGCUGCGAGUGUCCUUGUGGUUCUAGGUACGCUUCUUCACUUCUUCACUCCAGUCUCACAUGGACAAUCCACGGAGGCUCAAGUUGUCGUUCGGAUCUUCAUGUAGGGGUGCAGAUUGAGGUCAGAGACACAACGGAACAAAUCAUUGAUUCAUAUCAAGACUACGUUACAGUUACCCACAUAAAGAAUUUUCGUUAACCUUGGUGAUGCCAGUCCCUCCCUAAUGGCUUCAUUCAUGAUCGGUGUAUUUUUCUGGGCCAUGGGUUGUCUCGCGCUAGCAUCUUGUUUGCUGGUGGUGGUCGAUUCUCGGCAGAAGCUGUGGUGAGAGCUUUCUGCUGAGAGUUUCUGAUGACUGCAAUAUUCCCACCUCAUACAUUAGCAUUCAUUUCGUGCAUUCCAACCCCAAUUUACUUAAAUUCUAACCUUUAAAAAUUAGAGUAACUACCCGCACUUUCAUGCAUGGGAGACACUACGAGGACAAUAAAGAACUUGAGGAUAUCUGCGCUGAUGCUGAUAAACCAUCCAGGCAACUUUGCGGUCCGUAAGUUGAUCACCUGAAUGUGUCCCUUGCGUUUUUAUUCCCUUGUUGCGUGCUUUGGACUUAUCUCUGACACGUCUAUGGCGUCGUAUGCUGAUGUCAAUGUAACAGCAGAGUGUUGGAGUUGCCGUUUGUACUUGCCAUGCCAUAUUCCACAGGUUCAACCGAUGCAGGAUAAUCUGUAAGCUCGCAAGAGUCUUGUUCAGCAUCACUCUCGUCCGGAAGCUACUGAUUUAGGAAUAUGUAUCCUGCUACGGGUUUGGAGAAUCAUGGUGACCAAGAGGAGAGCUGGGUUUCAUAAGCAUAACGUUGUCCAACCUUGAGAGUCCCAUGGAACAAUUCCAAGCCUUGUUUAUGCUUGGAAUUGGUUUCUUCACAGAUUUAGGUUGAUUCUUCGUCCACUUCCAUCAAUUUCGUUACGGAUAAUAAGUUCCACCUUGUCAAGGCGUUGGUGCUAAAAUGCAUCGUUCCCUUGAAUGAGAAAUUUCUCUACCGCUCGAAGUUGGGCUGUUCUCAGAUCCUCAACGUUCAAAAACUGUCGAGAUCGGGAAGGUCGCUUCAUUGCCCCAGCAAUGAAUAUACACAUGAAGGCACUGCUGGUGUUCUGUUACGCUACGCAGCAUUGUGAAUGGAUUCCAAUUCCUGCGAAGAAAACUGCUGGUUCUGCUACUGCGAAUGCCGCCCAGAUUUGAUUUGGUGAUGCACAAGAACAAACUCCCAAAACUGACGAAGUGAGUGAGUGACAAUGAAAAAUCUGAGUAUUUCACCCAUCCUUACAAAAACCUUAAUUUCGGUUGAUUGCUGUACUACUAAUGUUUGUGGUUUCUGCAAUGCUGCAAGCUGGAUCUGAGGCUUCAACUUCACUUUGAUCUGUGCAUGCUUAGUAGUUGUUUCUUUUAGUAGAUUAAUCGAGUAUGGAAAUGAAGUAUAACAUAGGCAAACAUGUUGCCAACAGUACAUGGCUCAAUAUGUGUGUGCAUUAGUGCUUCGUGUGUUGCAUGAUGUGCUACCACAAGCAGAGGCAAAUCAAGAACAGAACAGAAGGUGAAGGCCUUGAAACAAACCCAAGUGCUAAUUUAAUGGCAUGGGCAAUGGGCUUAUGAUUAAUUCUAUUGACGAAAUUACUUUUUCUUCAAUUAAGCACUGUGAAUUCUAAUUUUAA